RNAcentral lists this unclassified non-coding RNA (791 nucleotides) under Hevea brasiliensis (rubber tree). Lineage: Eukaryota; Viridiplantae; Streptophyta; Magnoliopsida; Malpighiales; Euphorbiaceae. The record is from RNAcentral.
UGGGGCCAAUGAAGUUGGGAUCCACCCAGAUAGAUGUUUUACUUUUUAUCAUCGGUUCCCUUUCAGUAUUUGUUGGACCGGUGCAAGCCACGCAUGUUCUCCACGACUUUAUUGAUCCCAACCGGUCAUCUUUCACAGUAGGGCAGUAUAGGACCGGGUACCAUUUUCAACCGCCGAUGAACUGGAUCAAUGAUCCGAACGGACCUAUGUACUACAAGGGAAUCUACCAUCUUUUUUAUCAGUACAACCCCAAGGGCGCUGUUUGGGGAAAUAUUGUUUGGGCGCAUUCAGUGUCAACCGACAUGCUCAACUGGAUUCCUCUCGAGCCAGCCAUCUACCCCUCAAAGCCAUUUGACAUUGGGGGUUGUUGGUCGGGAUCAGCCACAAUCCUCCCUGGUAACAAACCUGCCAUCCUCUAUACAGGCAUUGAUGCUAACAAACGGCAACUCCAAAACAUGGCAACCCCCAAGGACCUAUCCGAUCCGUUUCUCAAAGAAUGGAUUAAGCCUGACUACAAUCCGGUCAUCAAUGGCGGACCUGGGAUUAAUUCGUCCGCUUUCCGCGAUCCUACAACUGCAUGGUUAGGAUCGGAUGGGCAUUGGAGGGUGGUGAUUGGUAGCCGAAGGUGGGGGAGGAACAGAGGACUAGCAGUUCUUUAUAAGAGCAAGGAUUUUGUAAAUUGGGUUGAGGUGAACCACCCAUUGCAUUCAAUGGCUGGUAGUGGGAUGUGGGAGUGUCCUGAUUUCUUUCCAGUGGCAACCGAGGGGACGAAUGGGCUAGAUACAUCUGAG